UUAAUCGAAUCAUUGGAAAUUAUUCAAGCACGAACGCAACCUCUCGGGGUUAUGACGUAUGUAUAUGUAUGUGUAUAUGUACACGUACUAUAUCUAGCCAUGCGCAUUUACAAAUAGAUCCAAUAGAAGCACGAGCGAAAGAAAUAGCUAUAACUUCGAUCCAUUUUCUCCAACGAGAGAAAUCGUAUUCGUAUUGAAUUUCAAGUUUCGAUUAAUUAAUAUAGUUGAAAUUUAGUUGAAAAAAAAAUCCGCGUAUAUUCUUACCUCGUGCGAUUUAUUCGCGCUCUUCCGUAGAACUUGGUCGGGCGAACCUCGAAACAAAAGGGAUCAAUCAUUUGGCUUGUUCGAUUUCGAGGAGAGAAUUUUCUUGUUUGGCAGUGGCAUAAAGUGUCUCGUACGUUUGCGUUGAUGCUUUGGAAAUAAUACAACGAAAAGGUAAUCGUGAUCGUUGAUCGAUUAUUAAAAUCAAAAAAAUUAGGUUAUGUACGCGUGUCACGAAUUAGUGUGUAUUAUAUAUCUAACAGAUUUAGUAUCAAGCCGUAGGCAUCGGUCAAAUACAGGCGAUAUUAAUCGAAAUCUUGGACAAUAUUUGUCGUAUCGAUGUAAUUAAAUCAAGUGAAUAAUUACUCGUGCAGCUUGGUUUCUUAAAUUAGAUUUUCUUUAACGAUCGAAUAAGAUCUAU
This is a long non-coding RNA of Apis florea (little honeybee), 682 nucleotides long. NCBI's taxonomy places the organism in Eukaryota, Metazoa, Arthropoda, Insecta, Hymenoptera, Apidae. The record is from RefSeq and is a predicted model, not a curated record.